RNAcentral lists this unclassified non-coding RNA (345 nucleotides) under soil metagenome. RNAcentral's name for it is "partial contains 5.8S ribosomal RNA, internal transcribed spacer 2, and large subunit ribosomal RNA". The stretch from base 1 to 119 matches the Rfam family "5.8S ribosomal RNA", at positions 35 to 154 of the family's 154-position model. The record is from RNAcentral.
GAUGAAGAACGCAGCGAAAUGCGAUACGUAAUGUGAAUUGCAAAUUCAGUGAAUCAUCGAGUCUUUGAACGCACAUUGCGCCCCCUGGUAUUCCGGGGGGCAUGCCUGUCCGAGCGUCAUUGCUGCCCUCAAGCACGGCUUGUGUGUUGGGCCCCGUCCUCCGAUCCCGGGGGACGGGCCCGAAAGGCAGCGGCGGCACCGCGUCCGGUCCUCGAGCGUAUGGGGCUUUGUCACCCGCUCUGUAGGNNCGGCCGGCGCUUGCCGAUCAACCCAAAUUUUUAUCCAGGUUGACCUCGGAUCAGGUAGGGAUACCCGCUGAACUUAAGCAUAUCAAUAAGCGGAGGA